Long non-coding RNA from Dermochelys coriacea (leatherback sea turtle), 5276 nucleotides. RefSeq lists it as uncharacterized. The record is from RefSeq and is a predicted model, not a curated record. NCBI's taxonomy places the organism in Eukaryota, Metazoa, Chordata, Testudines, Dermochelyidae. The transcript is spliced from 2 exons.
CCGGCCCCGUACCAGUAAGUGUCCAGAGUUACUUUGACCCCUGGAGGCAGCCUGAUCCGAUGGAGAGGGCAGUGGAUUGGGAACUGGAAGACCUCACUUCUAUUCCUGUCUGUUUGACCUUAGACAAAUCAUUUCACCUCUCUGUGCUUCUGUUUUCCCAUCCACUCUUUGUGCAUCUUAGCUAUUUAGAUUGUAAGCUCUCUGCAGCAGGGACCGUCUUUUACUAUACGUUUGUACAGUGCUUAGCACAAUGGGGCUCUGAUCUUGGUUGAGGCCUCUAUUAUUAUAAUAAAAAUAGUUAAUAAAUUAAGUAAGAGUUUAUUUUAUAAAUGACCAAAUAAUACAACAGAAUAGAGCAACAUGACAGAGAACAUAUAAAGUAAUUGGGUCUUUGGUUGCUGGGCUUCACUUACAUUUUUACAAUGGAGUUUUUCAGAGUAGUAUACAUUUUGCUUAGGAAGAUUAUGUACCUAUGGAUUCAUCAUGGUGAAUCAAACAUAUGAGAUACACAAGUAACUGCAGUUAUCUAAUUUGGCCACAGUUGAUGUGCAAAGAAAGGAUCUCCCAGCAGAUGGGCAGCUUGUAUACAGGAUUUUGUUUCUUUGGUUUUGCUGAGAGUUUCAGCUAGCUGUUUUGAAGUGAUGAAUUUGUCCAUUUAUUUACAGAGUUGCACGAAGCAGUUCAUGGAGUCUCUGCAAUGAAUUAUGACUCUCAGUGAAUGUGGCUAUAGUUCCAGUUUGUAUACUUAGUGUAAAAGCGGUCUCCUUUCUUCUUUCCCUUCCUUUCAAAAGUGUAUUUUAUAUGAUCAGCCACCUGUGCUGAGAAAACCAUGACCCUGAACUCCAAUUAUGUAGGCCUGAUGUUAGCGAGGCUUUUUACUUGCCUAUUAAAAUUAAACAAACACAGCAUUAAACAUUUGAUUCAGGUUUGUAAUUUAGAUGAAAGCUAGAAGUGACUUUUCUAGGGAAGGGGGCUAGACAAGGUGCCAGGUGUGACAAAACAGUUAGUGAUUCAUUUAAAAACAAUUGACAGGAUAGAGAAUAGGAAGAAUGUGGCAAAGGAGGGAGAAAGAGAGGUGGAUUUUUAUUUCUGCAGUCUCUAAAGUAUUCUGUGAAUGAAAAGUCAUGGAUUUGCUUAAGCUAUAGAUACAACAGAGAUGGGACAUUAAUCUGCUCAUUGAUCUACUUCUUGUAAAAUCCAAAUGCUUUUUUGAUUUUACUUCUAGCUAUACAUUAUAUACUCCAGAGUUAAUUAUUAAAAGAGAAUUCAUUCCUUUGUACUACACUAUUUUAGUGGUAUUUUAUGGCACUAUUGCCAUGGAUACAUGCAGUAAUAGUUUUCAGUGUGUCCUCCAGAUUAACCUCUGAAAUCCUCAGAUCUUUCCUCCACAUAUGCCUUUCCUCUAUAUGGAUAUGAAAUCCAGAACUAUGGAUAACGCUAGCAGUGUACUCAAAGGUACAAUAUUUCUAAAAUUCUACAUACAGGUAUUUACCAUAGUGUUUAGUAGCCCAGAAAUAAAAAUGUUGUGCAAUAAAGAAAUCUUUGCAGUCAUCUGAUAGAUUAAUCUGGCUAUUACUAGAAUUGGAACCAUGAGUUACAAAUCGAUUCUCUUCCUCCUUUGAAUAACCCAAUUCUCUUUUUUUGGAAGUCAGAGACAAAACUCUCAGAUGGAGCAGGUCCAGGCACCAAAUCUUUAUUUACAAUCUACAUCAAUGAACAAUACUGAGUGUGUGGGCAGAUUGUAGGCCAAAUCCAAUCCAGUACACUUUGGAAAUGGACUGAUGAGGCCAAAUUUUGAUUUUGCAAAAAAACAAAUCUCCUUCAGAUCUAGAUUCCAUUUUAUCUUAAUUAGUAUGCUGUUUCCCCCCCCCCCCCCAUCUCUGUAUACACUGUGACAAAAGUUCCUCCUUUACCUUGGUGGAUCUUGCGCUUAUUGACAGAUUUGCUUGCCUCGGAGAUUCACGGCAGCCCUCAGUUUGGCCAUUUUCGUGAACCUACAGUCCAGGUCAACUCCUCCUGUGUCUGAUCAGGAGUUGGGAGGUUUGGGGGGAACCCAGGCCCACCCUCGAUUCUGGGUUCCAGCCCAGGGCCCUGAGGAAUGCAGCUGUCUAGAGUGCCUCCUGGAACAGCUGUGCAACAGCUACAACUCCUUGGGCUACUUCCCUAUGGCCUCCUCCCAACACCUUCUUUAUCUUCACCAUAGGACCUUCCUCCUGGUGUCUGAUAAUGCUUGUACUCCUCAGUUCUCCAGCAGUAUGCCUUCUCAUUCUCAGCUCCUAGUGCCUCUUGCUCCCAGCUCCUCACACACGCACCACAAACCAAACUGAGCUCCUUUUUAAACCCAGGUGCCCUGAUUAGCCUGCCUUAAUUGAUUCUAGCAGCUUCUUGAUUGGCUGCAGGUGUUCUAAUCAGCCUGUCUGCCUUAAUUGUUUCCAGAAAGUUCCUAAUUUUUCUGGAACCUUCCCUGUUACCUUACCCAGGGAAAAGGGACUUACUUAACCUGGGACUAAUAUAUCUGCCUUCUAUUACUCUCCUGUAGCCAUCUGGCCCAACCCUGUCACAACACAUACAACUGAGAAGGAGAAAAUCAGAUCAGGUUAAAUACAAAAUGACCUAGACCCAGGCCCAUCACUCACACCUGACAGUUUUUUGUUUUGUCAUGCCUUUUUUGAGGAAUGGUGGUGGACAGGGCUUAAGCUUUUAAAAAGUUUGACUAACUUUCUACUUUUUUGGAUUACUGCUGCCUGGACUGAAAGCAUUGAGAUUCUGUAAGCACUGGGGCUUUCCCUGUAUUGCAGCCAAUGUACCCAAUAUCGGGAAGCACAGGUUUUCUCAGCAGAAAUUGUCUUGUGAAAUUCCCAAUUGGAGACCUAGAGCAAACAGAUUCAGCUUCUUAUCUAAAUAUAACCCCCAAACCUGAGGCCUAAUGUUGAGAGCUGAUGAACAGCUGUAACUCCCACUGAAGUCAAUGGCAUUGUGGGUGUGACAAUGCAGGGCAUCUGUACUUGUAUUAUUCCCCUGUGGUCCAGGAAGGGCAUCCACUCUCACGCUUCUGGCUCCCCAACCAUCACCUCUGUUGGGCAAAGACCCAUGUCUGUCUUCGUCCUAACUGGGGUAUUUCUGGCUGCACAGCUCCCUGCCACCACUGAGCGUUCCCCAGCGCAUCAGACUGUGCAAACAGGUCUGCUUUGCUUUUCUCCUCAAGGCUAUAAUCAGUGAAAUUGCCCGCCAUUUUAAGUUACCACACAGCUUUUCCUAAGCAAGCACAUUUAUUGUUAAGGUAAAAGCACUACAAAAAAAAGUACUAAAACAAUAAAAGAGCCCAUGUGCAUGCUAAUAAGAUUACCAGCAAUCACCCCCUAUCUCCACAAGGGCGCUAGUGAAUGUCAGUCCUUCCAACCCUUGCCUAAGGUUUGGGGCUCUCCCUUUGAACAGAAGGUCCUCUCUGAUUGCUGGAUCAGAAAGGAGGAUCUCAAUCAGUUUAUUCUAUAAUUCUAUAAUUCAGUCUAGUUAUCCAAUAGUCCUUUUUUUUUUUGUCUGUUGGCCUCUAGAGAAUCUACUUUGAACUAAUGUAGACAAGGAUCCCCAAGAAAGUGACACACUCAGGCUGUAACACCUCCAGAGCGGGAUUUGCCUAAUCACCUCCAACUGUUCUGAGUUCCUGAAGGGGCUACGGUCACCGUCCCCAAAUUAAUAUCUGUAUUAAUUAUUUUAGGCCAGGUAUUGUAAGGGCUCCCAAAACUAUUGUAGGAAAUUUGCCAUAUCUGCCAACAUGGGCACACAGGAUGUUCCAAGAUCCUGCCCCGUUGAGGUUCACCCAUCACUCCAUAUGCAUCUUCCCAAAGGCUCAGGAACAGGAGAUCUGAUCUUUUAACGGUAUUUUGAGGGGUUAGGUUGGGUUUAGGUGCAUGUGCCUUGUACUAGCCCCAUGCACAGAGGUCAGUUUCACCCAUGAAUAGUCUAAUGUGAUUAUUCAAAUAAAGACUGCUUACAUGAACAUAGGCUGAAGGAUUGGGCCCAAGAAAAAAAACUCUCUGUGAAAAGUUAUUCUUUUUAAAAAUAGCUUCUCUCUUCCCCAUGGAUACUUUGUUUUUUAAAUAAUUACAAAUAUAACAUUUUGUACAGUAAAACAAGAUCCAUUACAUGUGAUUUUAUCAGCAGUGUACACAACAGCUAAUGCAAUCCAGCUGACAUUAUUACUCUCCAUUAAAGCACUUAGAGUGAAAAAGUACAACAAUAUUUAUGGAUUGCAUUAGUGCCAUUGUAAGAAGCCUCAGACUACAUAAAAGCCCUUUAUAUCUACAGAGGGAAGCAAUUAUAACACUUCUAAAAAUGUAAUAGUCUGUAUGAUCCAGGAUUUGUAUAUAAAUGUCUGAACAGUGAAGGUUGAGCAUGCACCAUCAGAGCUAUGUCCUUACUAAUACUGUGUGUGUAUUACAAGUUAUUCUCUAUGCUAAGCCACAAAUGAUAUGAAUUGGCAAGAUUUUGUAUAUGGCAUCUAUAACUUUUAAGCUCAAGUUGUAGCAGCUUAGGCUUUUAGGCCUGGAGGUCCCCAAUAUGUCAGCCAAAAUGGUAGCUGUCACACAUAAUCAGAUACAAGGCCAAGAAAGAGAAAUCUUAAACACACAGAAAAUGACUGAUCUCUACAUGGCCUGGGUGAGCACCUACCUUCUGCAAAACAGAACACAGGAGGUGGUCAAAAACAUUACCUGUGAGGAGGGACAAGAUAUUUCAGAGGGUAUUGAAGUCAAUGGGACUUAAGCACAUGCUUAAAGUUAAGCGCUUUCCUGAAUUGAGGUUAAUGUGCCUACCUGCAUUUAGCAACUAAAAUUUGGCCCUUACCUUUCAAAACUGAGGGUGAAAACAUGUCCCCAUUGAAGUCAAUGGCAAAACUCCCAUUGACUUCAAUAGGGGUAGGAUUUCACCAAGUAUUGUGAACCUUGUAUAGAAAAUGCAAAAUGGCCAUUGAGAAAAUCUAUAGCUGCAGUAACUAAUGUAGCAAGCUGUGCAGUGAUAAAGGAAAGCUCUGGCUGAGAAGACUGCUUGCUCGAUUAUAAUUUCAGAAUUCUAAUUUAAACUCAGAUUUGAAAGGUUUAAUUUUUUCCUCUCAUAUACACUACUGUUAAUCAGGAGUACCUCCACCAACAUCAACUCUUGUAAAGCUGCUGUAAUGGAGGGGAAAAGAGCGCAGUAUCUUUUUCCAAAGUACUUCUCACACACAGUUAAAGACAUAUCUUGGCAGAAUGAAAUUAACAAACAGUUUAGAAAUGUUGUAU